AAGAAGAAGAAAUUCAAAGAGAAAUCCUCCAUCCCUCUCAGCUCCCAUUCAAAAGUUUGGAGCCCCGCCCCCUCCCGCUGUCACUCAAAGAUUACAUCACCUUCUGAUCAUCAGGUGCCACGCGCGCGCA
This is a long non-coding RNA of Salarias fasciatus (jewelled blenny), 130 nucleotides long. RefSeq lists it as uncharacterized. The record is from RefSeq and is a predicted model, not a curated record. NCBI's taxonomy places the organism in Eukaryota, Metazoa, Chordata, Actinopteri, Blenniiformes, Blenniidae. The transcript has 3 exons.